UACGUAGGAUCCGAGCGUUGUCCGGAUUUACUGGGUGUAAAGGGUGCGCAGGCGGACUGGUAAGUCAGAGGUGAAAUCUCGUCGCUCAACGACGAAACUGCCUUUGAUACUAUCAGUCUUGAAUCCGGUAGAGAUCUGUGGAAUUCCGAGUGUAGCAGUGAAAUGUGUAGAUAUUCGGAAGAACACCAGUGGCGAAGGCAGCAGAUUGGGCCGGUAUUGACGCUCAGGCACGAAAGCAUGGGGAUCAAACAGG
This 253-nucleotide ribosomal RNA is filed under the name uncultured bacterium. RNAcentral's name for it is "partial 16S ribosomal RNA". It matches the Rfam family "Bacterial small subunit ribosomal RNA", at positions 524 to 776 of the family's 1533-position model. The record is from RNAcentral.